CAUGUCAAGCCCGGCCAUGGCUUUGGUGGACGAUAGGCUGAGCACCGAGGGAACAGGGCUUCCAUUCGGAUUGAGCAACAACCUUCUUGGUUGGAUCCUCUUUGGUGUGUUUGGUCUCAUUUGGACCUUCUACUUUAUCUAUACUUCCUCCCUCGAAGAGGACGAAGAGUCAGGAUUGUCCCUCUAAGCCAAACACCAGUGUUCCUCAAAUGAUGGAGGAAUGUAAAAAUUUCUAGUUCAUGUUUUGUAGUAAAAGCUUCCCAUUUCUGAAUCAAACUUGUGUACUUGUGUUAUCCACUAUAUUCUCAGUCUCA
This 314-nucleotide long non-coding RNA is filed under the name Malus domestica (apple). Its description in RNAcentral is "long non-coding RNA (MDOM_LNC005136)". Lineage: Eukaryota; Viridiplantae; Streptophyta; Magnoliopsida; Rosales; Rosaceae. The record is from RNAcentral.